GUCCCAGCAGCCGCGGUAAUACGGAGGGUGCAAGCGUUGUUCGGAAUUAUUGGGCGUAAAGCGCGUGUAGGCGGUCUUUUAAGUCUGAUGUGAAAGCCCCGGGCUCAACCUGGGAAGUGCAUUGGAAACUGGGAGACUUGAGUACGGGAGAGGAGAGUGGAAUUCCUAGUGUAGGAGUGAAAUCCGUAGAUAUUAGGAGGAACACCGGUGGCGAAGGCGGCUCUCUGGACCGAUACUGACGCUGAGACGCGAAAGCGUGGGUAGCAAACAGGAUUAGAUACCCCGGUAGUCCAUGCCGUAAACGAUGUCUACUAGCCGUUGGGGUCUUUGAGACUUUAGUGGCGCAGCUAACGCGAUAAGUAGACCGCCUGGGGAGUACGGUCGCAAGACUAAAACUCAAAUGAAUUGACGGGGGCCCGCACAAGCGGUGGAGCAUGUGGUUUAAUUCGAUGCAACGCGAAGAACCUUACCUGGUCUUGACAUAGUAAGAACUUUCCAGAGAUGGAUUGGUGCCUUCGGGAGCUUACAUACAGGUGCUGCAUGCCUGUCGUCAGCUCGUGUCGUGAGAUGUUGGGUUAAGUCCCGCAACGAGCGCAACCCUUAUCAUCAGUUGCCAUCAUUAAGUUGGGCACUCUGAUGAAACUGCCGGUGUCAAACCGGAGGAAGGUGGGGAUGACGUCAAGUCCUCAUGGCCCUUAUGUCCAGGGCUACACACGUGCUACAAUGGCCGGUACAAAGAGUCGCAAUGCCGCGAGGUGGAGCCAAUCUCAAAAAGCCGGUCUCAGUUCGGAUUGGAGUCUGCAACUCGACUCCAUGAAGUCGGAAUCGCUAGUAAUCGCGGAUCAGAAUGCCGCGGUGAAUACGUUCCCGGGCNUUGUACACACCGCCCGUCACACCACG
RNAcentral lists this ribosomal RNA (900 nucleotides) under uncultured Geobacter sp. RNAcentral's name for it is "bacterial SSU rRNA". It matches the Rfam family "Bacterial small subunit ribosomal RNA", at positions 505 to 1406 of the family's 1533-position model. The record is from RNAcentral. Lineage: Bacteria; Pseudomonadati; Thermodesulfobacteriota; Desulfuromonadia; Geobacterales; Geobacteraceae.